UCAUGUGUAAGAGCUGAUUCUCAUAGUGGAGAACUCAACAAUGACUUUCAUCUUCAUGUUCCUCUGGACACUUGUCCUCUGCUUUCAAAAGUCAUAUGGACAGGUCACUGUGACUCAGACUCCUGCAAUGAAAGCUGCUCAACAGGGAGGAUCCGUCACUCUGAACUGUAAAACCAGCAGUAAUGUGUUUGAUGCAGGGGGAUCAAGCACUCGAUUAGCCUGGUACCAACAGAAACCUGGAGCAGCUCCUAAACUCCUGAUCUAUUAUGC
This is a long non-coding RNA of Clupea harengus (Atlantic herring), 270 nucleotides long. RefSeq lists it as uncharacterized. The transcript has 2 exons. The record is from RefSeq and is a predicted model, not a curated record. NCBI's taxonomy places the organism in Eukaryota, Metazoa, Chordata, Actinopteri, Clupeiformes, Clupeidae.